GGUUAAGCGACUAAGCGUACACGGUGGAUGCCCUGGCAGUCAGAGGCGAUGAAGGACGUGCUAAUCUGCGAAAAGCGUCGGUAAGGUGAUAUGAACCGUUAUAACCGGCGAUGUCCGAAUGGGGAAACCCAGUGCAAUUCGUUGCACUAUCGUUAACUGAAUACAUAGGUUAACGAGGCGAACCGGGGGAACUGAAACAUCUAAGUACCCCGAGGAAAAGAAAUCAACCGAGAUUCCC
Molecule: ribosomal RNA, 238 nt
Filed under: Pseudomonas aeruginosa
Lineage: Bacteria; Pseudomonadati; Pseudomonadota; Gammaproteobacteria; Pseudomonadales; Pseudomonadaceae
Also listed under: 1 other name
Description: partial 23S ribosomal RNA
Rfam family: Bacterial large subunit ribosomal RNA
Source: RNAcentral